Molecule: long non-coding RNA, 726 nt
Organism: Eptesicus fuscus (big brown bat)
Lineage: Eukaryota; Metazoa; Chordata; Mammalia; Chiroptera; Vespertilionidae
Exons: 4
Source: RefSeq, a predicted model, not a curated record
GAGGCUCUAGGACAGGGAAGGACUGAGCUUGGCCCCAGGGCUCCCAGGUGCCCACGCCAUGCCCGUCCCUGGGAAAAAGGGCUCUCCCAAGGGCCGGAGGAGAAGAUGAACUCCACUGAAGCUUGGAAGGGGAACCUCUCAUCUGUGAGGAGUGGACAGUGAAAAGCCAGGUCCCCCGCCUGCCUGCCCGCUCCUGGGAUCUAGCCCUCAUGCCACUUGUCUCCGACUCACCCGUCCAGGCCUCAUCCAGCUGGUCUUUGGGAAAGGUUUAUUGCCUUCUACUUCCCUGGAAUGUAAGGUCCGUAAAAGCAAGAAUCUUGUUUGUUCUGAAUGCUCAGCACUUGGCACGGUGCCUGGCACAUCCAAGGUGCCCCAUUGAAGUGUGCUAUGUGAAUGAGAAAAACUUGACCUUGGUAGCCAUGGAGAGACUACUCCUCCGGCCUAUCCCCACCCAGGUUGCUCACCGGCGCUGGGAGGGCUGCAGCUCUGCGGCCACCUUGUCCUCGCAGAACUUCCGCAUGAAGAAGAGAAGAAACACAGACACACAGAAAGAAGGUCACGUGAUGACGGAGGCAGAGAUUGGAGUGAUGUAGCUACAAGCCAAGGAACACUAAGGAUUGCUGGCCACCACCAGGAGCUAGAAGGAGGCAAGGAAGGAUUCUGCCCAGAGUCUCAGAGGGAGUGAGGUCCUGCUGACACCUCAGUUUUAAAUUUCUAGCCUCCAGA